CAGUAGCCACGGGAAUACAGAGGGUGCGAGCGUUAAUCGGAUUUACUGGGCGUAAAGCGUGCGUAGGCGGCUAAUUGAGUCGGAUGUGAAAUCCCCGAGCUUAACUUGGGAAUUGCAUUCGAUACUGGUUAGCUAGAGUGUGGGAGAGGAUGGUAGAAUUCCAGGUGUAGCGGUGAAAUGCGUAGAGAUCUGGAGGAAUACCGAUGGCGAAGGCAGCCAUCUGGCCUAACACUGACGCUGAGGUACGAAAGCAUGGGGAGCAAACAGGAUUAGAUACCCCAGUAGUCCCUGUCUCUUAUAA
RNAcentral lists this ribosomal RNA (301 nucleotides) under uncultured bacterium. RNAcentral describes it as "partial 16S ribosomal RNA". It matches the Rfam family "Bacterial small subunit ribosomal RNA", at positions 509 to 809 of the family's 1533-position model. The record is from RNAcentral.